UGUGUAGGCGGUUCUCCAAGUUUGGUGUGAAAUCUCCCGGCUCAACCGGGAGGGUGCACCGAAAACUGGAGGGCUAGAGUGCGGGAGGGGAGAGUGGAAUUCCUGGUGUAGCGGUGAAAUGCGUAGAUAUCAGGAGGAACACCGGUGGUGUAGACGGCUCUCUGGACCGUAACUGACGCUGAGACACGAAAGCGUGGGUAGCAAACAGGAUUAGAUACCCUGGUAGUCCACGCCCUAAACGAUGCAUAUUUGGUGUGGGUCAUUCAGUUGAUCCGUGCCGGAGCUAACGCGUUAAAUAUGCCGCCUGGGGAGUACAGUCGCAAGGCUGAA
Molecule: ribosomal RNA, 330 nt
Filed under: uncultured bacterium
Lineage: Bacteria
Description: bacterial SSU rRNA
Rfam family: Bacterial small subunit ribosomal RNA
Source: RNAcentral